Molecule: long non-coding RNA, 853 nt
Filed under: Ananas comosus (pineapple)
Lineage: Eukaryota; Viridiplantae; Streptophyta; Magnoliopsida; Poales; Bromeliaceae
Description: long non-coding RNA (ACOM_LNC044701)
Source: RNAcentral
UCUUAUUCUAUAAUUAAUAUAUAGGGUAAACUUUAAAUGCCACCCGUGUAGUUUCGCACUUUCUCACUUUAUAGUAUCCUGUGAUUUAAAGUGUAUCAUGUUAGUGUCAUGUGAUUUCAUUUUUAUUUUUUCGUCAGUUUUUUCGUUAAUAUUUCGUUAAAUUAUGUACAAAAAACUUCAGAUACCCCACAUAGUUUUAUCGAAUAUUCACUUUAGUAUCCUUUAGUUUUAACUUUGUCAUUUAUUUAACAAAAAAAAUUAGUGGAAUCAAUAAUAAAAAGAUAAAAAUAAAACAACAGAGCACUAAAUUGAUACACUUUAAACUACAUGAUAUUAAAGUGAGAAAGUGUGAAACUACAGGGAUAAUAUUUGAAGUUUUUCUUAAUAUAUAUGAGAUUAUUAUUCUCAAUACGUCGCUUUGACACGUGCUAGGCCUUACUAGCACCUGACGUGAAUUUAGACUGAUACAAGAAAAUUGAAUGGAAUAUAUUUGAAAGUAUGGUUUAAGUGAGACGUGAACCGAAUGAAACUGGUUUGAAACAACUGGAUCAAACCAAUUGAAACAAGGCCGAACGUAUACAUUGUAUGAUCAAUCUUUAAAGUUGUACCCUUUUAGAAAUAGUGUAAUAAGAGAAGAAAUAAUAUAAAUACCUCCUCUUAAAGAGUGCAAUAAGAUGAGAAACAGUAUAAAUAUCUCUCAAAGAGUGCAAUUUUCGUUUAAGUGUAACUUUCAUUUUAAAGAGUGCAGUUUAUAUUUAAAAGAGUGCAACUUACGUCCAUAAUAGUGCAACGUUCUUUUAAAACAGUGCAAUUUAAUCUUAAGAGUGCAAAUUCAUCUUUUUCUUUAUUUUUU